Long non-coding RNA from Fundulus heteroclitus (mummichog), 318 nucleotides. RefSeq lists it as uncharacterized. The transcript is spliced from 2 exons. NCBI's taxonomy places the organism in Eukaryota, Metazoa, Chordata, Actinopteri, Cyprinodontiformes, Fundulidae. The record is from RefSeq and is a predicted model, not a curated record.
GUUAUGAAAGGCAGGAGUACAGCUCACAACAAAGAAGAGGAGAAGACACAGAUGGCCUGACUGGAAGAGAGAGACAGAGAGAGGGAGAUCUCCAGCAGUGCCAGCCGAAAGAGGAUCAAGGUGAUUUUGGAUAAAUUUCAGAGAUACGAUAAAGGGAAGAAGAAAAAAGGCAAGCGGGGCUGCUGGCAAAGGAGCGCCAGCCCUGCACGGGGCCCCCGCUGCCUGGGGCUGAUGCAUCAUGGGAGACAGAGCCAUCUCCAAAUCAGGAGGGAGACAUUAAAGAAGAGCAAGUGGAAAAGAAAGAGACGGAGGGAGAAA